This is a non-coding RNA of Caenorhabditis tropicalis, 66 nucleotides long. NCBI's taxonomy places the organism in Eukaryota, Metazoa, Nematoda, Chromadorea, Rhabditida, Rhabditidae. The record is from Rfam.
AACUGUCGGUCCGGCGUCAAUGGGUUAUCUUGUCAAACCCCCCAUUGGCACUAACUUGAUCGUUGU